CUUCGGGUUCUUAGAUUACUAUCUAACGGGUCCAAGUCCUUGAACAUUGAACGUAUAAGAUCCGGUACAAUUGAAGAGGUCCUCAAUCGACGGGCUGACUCGUAUCAUAUGGUAAUCAGAGCAAAGGUGAACAAAGUAAGAAAUUCAUCUUGAAAAAAAAGAAUUCCGAAAAUUAAAAAACAAAACAAAAAAAAUUCC
This is a long non-coding RNA of Hibiscus syriacus, 198 nucleotides long. RefSeq lists it as uncharacterized. The record is from RefSeq and is a predicted model, not a curated record. The transcript is spliced from 2 exons. Lineage: Eukaryota; Viridiplantae; Streptophyta; Magnoliopsida; Malvales; Malvaceae.